CGCUGGUUACGUUUGCAAAGUAUUUGGAGAUCCUUCAGGAUACGAGGAGCACGUACAAGAUACUUACCCACCAUGGCGGUCUCUCCUUGUGAUGCAGGGUGGGCAAAUGCAUCAUGGAAGUUCCUGUCCACGUGGAAAACAGCUUCGCUACACGACAGCCAUGACCAGCAACAGAAGAUAGAGAAACUCACUGCCCUUCGAUGGUGCACUGAUCAGCAGUCAAAUGUGUUUCCUGCGAUUCCUCUUUGCUUGAAGCACCAUUGGUAGUUCUUCUGGAAUCUGUUGCACUUUUCAGUGUGGGUUUCUGAGUGAGACCCAAAAUUAUCCUGGUAAUAAACUACAGCUGUUCACUGGACAACUUCCAACUCCUUCUCAUCUUUGAUUUAGAAUGUCUGUGAUUCUGUAGGUAAAGCUGGAGACAGAAAUAUAUUGGGACCUUCUUCCGAGCCAAAACAAAUUCCCAACGUUACACACAUACACCCUCCACUCCAGCAUUUGGAUGCAAGAGCGUAUCCAAACAUUUGAGGUUGACAUUUUUGAAGGUGGUUAAAGGAAUUAGGCACUGAACCCUUUCAGAAACAUAGGACUGGCCAGACUGGAUCCAACUCCUGGUCUCUCUUGUCCAAUAUCUUGUUUCCAACAACAGCCAGAAUCAGAGUGCCGAAGAAGUGGGCUGUAGUCCACGAAAGCUUAUGCUCUAAUAAAUUUGUUAGUUUCUAAGGUG
Long non-coding RNA from Malaclemys terrapin pileata, 724 nucleotides. RefSeq lists it as uncharacterized. Lineage: Eukaryota; Metazoa; Chordata; Testudines; Emydidae. The record is from RefSeq and is a predicted model, not a curated record. The transcript has 5 exons.